RNAcentral lists this ribosomal RNA (953 nucleotides) under Salmonella enterica. RNAcentral describes it as "partial 23S ribosomal RNA". It matches the Rfam family "Bacterial large subunit ribosomal RNA", at positions 711 to 1578 of the family's 2925-position model. RNAcentral also lists the same sequence under 2 other names. Lineage: Bacteria; Pseudomonadati; Pseudomonadota; Gammaproteobacteria; Enterobacterales; Enterobacteriaceae. The record is from RNAcentral.
AGACCCGAAACCCGGUGAUCUAGCCAUGGGCAGGUUGAAGGUUGGGUAACACUAACUGGAGGACCGAACCGACUAAUGUUGAAAAAUUAGCGGAUGACCUGUGGCUGGGGGUGAAAGGCCAAUCAAACCGGGAGAUAGCUGGUUCUCCCCGAAAGCUAUUUAGGUAGCGCCUCGUGAAUUCAUCUCCGGGGGUAGAGCACUGUUUCGGCUAGGGGGCCAUCCCGGCUUACCAACCCGAUGCAAACUGCGAAUACCGGAGAAUGUUAUCACGGGAGACACACGGCGGGUGCUAACGUCCGUCGUGAAGAGGGAAACAACCCAGACCGCCAGCUAAGGUCCCAAAGUCAUGGUUAAGUGGGAAACGAUGUGGGAAGGCCCAGACAGCCAGGAUGUUGGCUUAGAAGCAGCCAUCAUUUAAAGAAAGCGUAAUAGCUCACUGGUCGAGUCGGCCUGCGCGGAAGAUGUAACGGGGCUAAACCAUGCACCGAAGCUGCGGCAGCGAACGUAUCACCCAAGACAACUUUACGGAGUUGACGAUUGACGGAGCGAAGCGACGUCAAAGCGUUCAUUAAAGUCGAGUUGGCUUAGGGAUACGUUCGUUGGGUAGGGGAGCGUUCUGUAAGCCUGUGAAGGUGUGUCGUGAGGCAUGCUGGAGGUAUCAGAAGUGCGAAUGCUGACAUAAGUAACGAUAAAGCGGGUGAAAAGCCCGCUCGCCGGAAGACCAAGGGUUCCUGUCCAACGUUAAUCGGGGCAGGGUGAGUCGACCCCUAAGGCGAGGCCGAAAGGCGUAGUCGAUGGGAAACGGGUUAAUAUUCCCGUACUUGGUGUUACUGCGAAGGGGGGACGGAGAAGGCUAUGUUGGCCGGGCGACGGUUGUCCCGGUUUAAGCGUGUAGGUGUGUGUUCCAGGUAAAUCCGGUUCACUUUAACACUGAGGCGUGAUGACGAGGCACU